CCCAGUUCAUCUGAUUGCAGAGUUUGUGCCCGGAACUUGGCACUGGACGUUUUCCUGACCAUGGCUCUUUUAUCAUGUUUAUUUUUCUUUGUUGGGUUUGACCUAUUUAUCGUGUGCCUCUCCUUCAAGACUUGGAACUUCUUAAAGACAAGCCAAGGAGUGACAGCAGGACAAGAGCUGCUAUCGUAAGACACCGGUGGACAUACUCGCAUCAGUGCAGUGGGGCCAAAGCUGGUCUGUAGGAAGCGAGAGAGGAGAGGCCCCCAGCUCUCUACAAGGACCCGAGACUCCGUGCUCUGGUUUCCCUUCUCCCUCUCCGUCUUCGACCUGGGAGUGGUGUUGAAGAUGGCUUGGAAGAAGUGGAGCUUGAAGUCGCUUCAGACUGCUGGAAGGGAUGUCAUACUUCAACAAAAAGCUUACUUUAAAAAGAAGCCAUGGGGUGGCUGGCCCCGUGGCCGAGUGGUUGGGUUUGCACGCUCUGCUGCAGGCAGCCCAGUAUUUCAUUGGUUUGAAUCCUGGGCACAGACAUGGCACUGCUCAUCAAGCCACACUGAGGCGGCAUCCCACAUGCCACAACUGGAAGGACCCUCAACGAAGAAUAUUCAACUAUGUACUGGGGGGCUUUGGGGAG
This 631-nucleotide long non-coding RNA is filed under the name Equus caballus (horse). RNAcentral's name for it is "lncRNA (ENSECAG00000048015.1)". The record is from RNAcentral. Lineage: Eukaryota; Metazoa; Chordata; Mammalia; Perissodactyla; Equidae.